ACUCCUACGGGAGGCAGCAGCUAAGAAUCUUCCGCAAUGGACGAAAGUCUGACGGAGCGACGCCGCGUGGGUGAUGAAGGCCGGAAGGUUGUAAAGCCCUUUUCUAUCUGAGGAAUAAGCCUACGAGGCAAUGCGUGGGUGAUGACGGUAGGGUAGGAAUAAGCCCCGGCCAAUUACGUGCCAGCAGCCGCGGUAAU
Molecule: ribosomal RNA, 197 nt
Filed under: uncultured bacterium
Lineage: Bacteria
Description: partial 16S ribosomal RNA
Rfam family: Bacterial small subunit ribosomal RNA
Source: RNAcentral